RNAcentral lists this ribosomal RNA (478 nucleotides) under uncultured bacterium. RNAcentral describes it as "partial 16S ribosomal RNA". It matches the Rfam family "Bacterial small subunit ribosomal RNA", at positions 28 to 523 of the family's 1533-position model. The record is from RNAcentral.
GACGAACGCUGGCGGCGUGCUUAACACAUGCAAGUCGAACGGUAAGGCCCUUCGGGGUACACGAGUGGCGAACGGGUGAGUAACACGUGGGUGAUCUGCCCUGCACUUCGGGAUAAACCUGGGAAACUGGGUCUAAUACCGGAUAGGACCCUGGGAUGCAUGUCCUGGGGUGGAAAGCUUUUGCGGUGUGGGAUGGGCCUGCGGCCUAUCAGCUUGUUGGUGGGGUGAUGGCCUACCAAGGCGACGACGGGUAGCCGGCCUGAGAGGGUGACCGGCCACACUGGGACUGAGAUACGGCCCAGACUCCUACGGGAGGCAGCAGUGGGGAAUAUUGCACAAUGGGCGCAAGCCUGAUGCAGCGACGCCGCGUGAGGGAUGACGGCCUUCGGGUUGUAAACCUCUUUCAGCACCGACGAAGCGCAAGUGACGGUAGGUGCAGAAGAAGGACCGGCCAACUACGUGCCAGCAGCCGCCGUAA